Gadus morhua (Atlantic cod) is the source of this 2211-nucleotide long non-coding RNA. The record is from Ensembl. Lineage: Eukaryota; Metazoa; Chordata; Actinopteri; Gadiformes; Gadidae.
AUGUUGCAAGACAAACACGAGGUUGAAAAACUGGUACGUAACAAAGACGCAAUUCGAUUCAUGAAAGUUUUGCGAGGCAGCCCCGCCUACUGGCAACAAACUACCAAAGACUUGUUUGCGAUGAUAAGGCAAUGUGGAACGCCGACUUUCUUUUGUACAUUUUCUGCAGCCGAAAUGCGCUGGAAAGAAAUAAUUACCGCUAUUAAAACUCAACAAGGCGAACAAGUGAAUUUCGAUGAGCUCGACUGGUCGUCCAAAUGCGAUAUUUUGCGAAGUAAUCCUGUGACAACGAUGCGCAUGUUUGACAAACGCGUUGAAGCGCUGUUCAGAGAUUUGAUCAUGUCACCUGCACAACCCAUCGGCAAAGUCGUUGAUUACUUUUACCGUUUAGAAUUUCAGCACAGAGGUUCCCCUCACAUACAUUGUCUCAUUUGGAUAGAAGGAGCGCCAGUGUUUGAGGAGGACUCGGAUAAGACGGUUUGCGAUUUCAUUUCCAAAUACAUCACCGCCGAGAUGCCUGAUCCAAACACGCAACCUGAACUUCACAAAAAAGUUAGCGGGGUUCAAAUGCACAGCAAGACACACUCAAAGACGUGUAUUAAAUAUCUCGGUGCCAACUGCCGUUUUGGAUUUCCGAAAUUACCUUCCCCCGAGACGAUGAUAGUAAGAUCUGAAGAAUGUGACGGUGAAGAUGAAAGAACGUCGGUGGCGACAAGAAAGCUCACAGCACUAAACCGGUUGCUUAACAAUCCCGAGAGCGAAUCUCUGAGUUUAGAGCAGAUAUUGUCCUUGUGCGAUCUUACAGUUGACCAAUACCAGGAUUGUCUCCGUGUUAAGGCAAAAAAAAGUGAGGUGGUACUAAAGCGUGAUCCCAAAGAAGCUUACGUAAACGGCUAUAAUCCAACACUGCUCUUAGCGUGGGACGCAAACAUGGAUAUACAGUAUAUUCUAAACCCGUACUCUUGCAUUGCCUAUAUCUGCAGCUACAUCAGCAAGGCCGAGCACGGUUUAAGCGAAUACCUUAAGACAAUGAUUGAGAACUCAAAUCAUGAAAAUCUCAAUGAAAGUGACGAGAUGAAACAAGUGAUGCAGGCGUACUCCAAAAAAAGAGAGGUCAGUGCUCAAGAGUGCGUCGCUCGUGCAUGUAGUCUGAACAUGAAACGGUGUUCCCGCAGCGUGAUAUUUGUACAGACCGAUGACAACCCGCUGAAAAUGAGUUAUCCCAUGUCGCACCUAGAGAACAAAACACCAGACUCGGUUAAUGUGUGGAUGACAGGCUUACCCGACAAGUACAAAUCGAGACCAGAAUCGCCAGAGUUUGAGUCAAUGUGUUUGGCUGAUUUCGCUGCCACUUGUAGAAUUGUCUAUGGCAAACAGGCCCAAGGUGCAAAAGCUAUUCCCCUGCUCAAUGAAAUGGGAUUCGUUCAGAAGAGAACAAAGGAUAAGCCCGCUGUCAUCAAGUAUUACCAUGUCUCGCAGGAAAAGAAACCUGAGCAAUUUCACGGCACAUUGCUAAAGCUUUACCUGCCUUAUCGCUCAGAGACACAGCUCAAGUCCAUAAACUUCCCCACUUACAAGUCCUUCCAUGACCAUGCAGGCGUUCAGCUACCUGGUUCACAGUACGCCGAGCUAGUGUCUGACAUUGUGAAACGAAACCGAGAGAAAUAUGAGAAACACAGGGAAGACAUCGAUAGUGCCAUCGCAGAGUACGAACAGAAUGGUUGCAUAAGAAACGAAUGGUGUAAUCUGGCUCCUGAAUGUGAACUGCAAAGGUUAGAGUGCAUUGAAGAACUUGACGCGAGACCAGCCGAUGAGGAUAACGUCCAAGAGAAUGUGCCAGACUACAACCUUAGGUCAGAAAAUAGACCAGAAGGUGCCAUCAUGAGUGAAGCCCCUGAGAUGGAUCCGACAGUGUUGAAAGAAAUGUAUCGAAGCUUAAACCAAAAGCAGGCGUCUGUUUUCUAUGCCGUCAGAGACUGGUGCAUAAAGCGUGUCUGUGGUUCAAAUGAAGAACGGUUCUUCUAUUAUAUCAAUGGCGGUGCAGGAACAGGCAAGUCCCACCUCAUCAAAUGCAUCCACGCAGAAGGAUCCAAAAUAUUGUCUCGACUUCCCCGUAACGCAGAAGAAAGCCGACAUUUCCAAACCUUCCGUACUCCUCACGGCUUUCACUGGUACUGCGGCGUUCAACAUAUCCGGCGUGACAUUGCAUAG